Molecule: small nucleolar RNA, 74 nt
Organism: Talpa occidentalis (Iberian mole)
Lineage: Eukaryota; Metazoa; Chordata; Mammalia; Eulipotyphla; Talpidae
Product: small nucleolar RNA SNORD113/SNORD114 family
Exons: 1
Source: RefSeq, a predicted model, not a curated record
CGGACCAGUGAUGAUGACUGUGGUGUUUGAAUCACGCGUGAUAACUCUCAUGUGUCUGAAACUCUGAGGUCCAU